RNAcentral lists this ribosomal RNA (443 nucleotides) under uncultured bacterium. RNAcentral describes it as "partial 16S ribosomal RNA". It matches the Rfam family "Bacterial small subunit ribosomal RNA", at positions 338 to 795 of the family's 1533-position model. The record is from RNAcentral.
CCUACGGGCGGCUGCAGUGAGGAAUAUUGGUCAAUGGGCGCAAGCCUGACCCAGCAACGCCGCGUGAAGGAAGAAGGCUUUCGGGUUGUAAACUUCUUUUCUCAGGGACGAAGCAAGUGACGGUACCUGAGGAAUAAGCCACGGCUAACUACGUGCCAGCAGCCGCGGUAAUACGUAGGUGGCAAGCGUUAUCCGGAUUUACUGGUUGUAAAGGGCGUGUAGGCGGGACUGCAAGUCAGAUGUGAAAACCACGGGCGCAACCUGUGGCCUGCAUUUGAAACUGUAGUUCUUGAGUACUGGAGAGGCAGACGGAAUUCCUGGUGUAGCGGUGAAAUGCGUAGAUAUUAGGAGGAACCCCAGUGGCGAAGGCGGUCUGCUGGACAGCAACUGACGCUGAGGCGCGAAAGCGUGGGGAGCAAACAGGAUUAGAUACCCGUGUAGUC